GAGAUAGAGGCGCACCCUCUAAUCAGUAGGUUUUCCUUAAGGAUGUACAUAUCCGGAGGGCAGAAAGGUAGGGGUGCCGAGGCUGGAUUUUCCAUGUACGGGGAAUUUCAGCUGGGCGUACAGAAUAAGAUCUGUGCGACUGUCGCAGAGCGCGGACUUCCGAGAAGACGUGUGAGGAAUGCGGAGCGCUAUCC
This 194-nucleotide non-coding RNA is filed under the name uncultured Eubacterium sp. Its description in RNAcentral is "Lysine riboswitch". It matches the Rfam family "Lysine riboswitch aptamer". From Rfam's summary of the family: Riboswitches are metabolite binding domains within certain messenger RNAs that serve as precision sensors for their corresponding targets. Allosteric rearrangement of mRNA structure is mediated by ligand binding, and this results in modulation of gene expression. This family includes riboswitches that sense lysine in a number of genes involved in lysine metabolism, including lysC. The record is from RNAcentral. Lineage: Bacteria; Bacillati; Bacillota; Clostridia; Eubacteriales; Eubacteriaceae.